GGAGCAUGCGGCUUAAUUCGACGCAACGCGAAGAACCUUACCAAGGCUUGACAUAUACAGGAAUAUGGCAGAGAUGUCAUAGCCGCAAGGUCUGUAUACAGGUGGUGCAUGGUUGUCGUCAGCUCGUGUCGUGAGAUGUUGGGUUAAGUCCCGCAAACGAGCGCAACCCUCGUUCUGUGUUGCCAGCAUUUAGUUGGGGACUCACAGGAGACUGCCGGGGUUAACUCGGAGGAAGGUGGGGAUGACGUCAAAUCAUCAUGCCCCUUAUGUCUUGGGCUGCACGCAUGCUACAAUGGCUGGUACAAACGGCUGCGAUACCGCAAGGUGGAGCGAACCCGAUAAAGCCAGUCUCAGUUCGGAUUGGGGUCUGCAACUCGACCCCAUGAAGUCGGAGUUGCUAGUAAUCGUAGAUCAGCAACGCUACGGUGAAUACGUUCCCGGGGCUUGUACACACCGCCCGUCACAUCACGAAAGUCGGUAACACCCAAAGUCAGU
This 495-nucleotide ribosomal RNA is filed under the name uncultured Actinomycetes bacterium. RNAcentral's name for it is "bacterial SSU rRNA". It matches the Rfam family "Bacterial small subunit ribosomal RNA", at positions 934 to 1431 of the family's 1533-position model. The record is from RNAcentral. Lineage: Bacteria; Bacillati; Actinomycetota; Actinomycetes.